Molecule: long non-coding RNA, 989 nt
Filed under: Carica papaya (papaya)
Lineage: Eukaryota; Viridiplantae; Streptophyta; Magnoliopsida; Brassicales; Caricaceae
Description: long non-coding RNA (CPAP_LNC010553)
Source: RNAcentral
GGUGUGUACCAUGUGGGAACCGUGUUCCCAUAAUCUUGAUUCUGUCCGGUUCCAUCCAAAGUGCAUAAAGAAACCUAGUUCCCACGCUGGAAACUGAUAACAGUGCUCGGUAUUUUAUGUUUAUUACCAGUUAUUGUUAAUUUAUUGCGUGACUUUCAUGGGAGUUGCAUAAAUAUGUCUUGAUCCCUUUUCUUGUUCUUUGAUUUACCUGGACCAUAUUCUGAAAAUAUUGUAAUCGUCGCUCGGUAAGGUUAUGGAUUGCUGGUUCAAGAGGUUUGCAAUAUCUAUUUUCACUCGUAUCACUUGGUGCUGGAUUCAUAUGUUUUUCUUCUGUAAUAAAAAGUUACGUAUGUGUAUUAAUACUGGUACCGAGGGGGCACUGCGCACUUACAAAAUUUUUACAAGUCCGCUGGAUUAAAAUAAUGUGACGUGCUUUGUUCCUCUCGGCGCUCUUUGCUUGUAUUUGAGCAAUCAUUUGUUAGAAGCAGCAGGCCAGAUCUGAAAAUAUGGCAAGUUUUUAGAAAUUGAUGCUGCGCCUUUUAGUUGCCAACACGUUCUUAUGUUGGUUUUCAGGUAAUUCUCUUUUGUUUCACUCCCUUUUAUUCGUCUUUAAGAUCUCGGAAUGGAAGUCCUCAGCUUCCUUGUCCCCCACAUCUUUGAGUCUCAUCUUAAAGCUGAAGGUCAUUAUUUUUGGCCUGUCCAGCAGUUUUGUUGUGGUUGAGAGAAAGGUUUAAAGGAUGCAUGAGAUGCUUGCCUCGUACAAGGGUGUCUAUUAUGUGGGAACCGUGUUCCCAAAAUCUUGAUUCCGUCUGGUCCAUAGUCCCUGCAAAGUCAUUCCAUCCAAAGUGCAUAAAGAAACAUAGUUCCCACGUUGGAAACUAAUAAUGUUGUUCCGUACGACGUUUGUUACCAGUUUAUUUUUUGUUUGAUGUUCGCGGGAGUUGUAUCAGUAUGUCUUGAUCCCUUUUCUUGUUUUUUGAUUUACAGGG